GAUGAACGCUGGCGGCAUGCCUAAUACAUGCAAGUCGAACGAGAGGAAGGAAAGCUUGCUUUUCUGAAUCUAGUGGCGAACGGGUGAGUAACACGUAGGUAACCUGCCCAUGUGCCCGGGAUAACUUCUGGAAACGGAUGCUAAAACCGGAUAGGUAGCAGACAAGCAUUUGACUGCUAUUAAAGUGGCUAAGGCCAUGAACAUGGAUGGACCUGCGGUGCAUUAGCUAGUUGGUGAGGUAACGGCCCACCAAGGCGACGACGCAUAGCCGGCCUGAGAGGGCGGACGGCCACAUUGGGACUGAGACACGGCCCAAACUCCUACGGGAGGCAGCAGUAGGGAAUUUUCGUCAAUGGGGGGAACCCUGAACGAGCAAUGCCGCGUGAGUGAGGAAGGUCUUCGGAUCGUAAGGCUCUGUUGUAAGAGAAAAACGACAUUCAUAGGGAAUGAUGAGUGAGUGAUGGUAUCUUACCAGAAAGUCACGGCUAACUACGUGCCAGCAGCCGCGGUAA
Molecule: ribosomal RNA, 512 nt
Filed under: uncultured bacterium
Lineage: Bacteria
Description: partial 16S ribosomal RNA
Rfam family: Bacterial small subunit ribosomal RNA
Source: RNAcentral